AGACAGCAGCAGCCGCGGUAACACGAAGGGGGCUAGCGUUGUUCGGAAUCACUGGGCAUAAAGCGCACGUAGGCGGAUUUUUAAGUCAGGGGUGAGAUCCCGAGGCUCAACCUCGGAACUGCCUUUGAUACUGGAGAUCUUGAGUUCGGAAGAGGUUGGUGGAACAGCUAGUGUAGAGGUGAAAUUCGUAGAUAUUAGCUAGAACACCAGUGGCGAAGGCGGCCAACUGGUCCGACACUGACGCUGAGGUGCGAAAGCGUGGGGAGCAAACAGGAUUAGAUACCCCAGUAGUCCCUGUCUCUUAUAC
RNAcentral lists this ribosomal RNA (307 nucleotides) under uncultured bacterium. RNAcentral describes it as "partial 16S ribosomal RNA". It matches the Rfam family "Bacterial small subunit ribosomal RNA", at positions 506 to 807 of the family's 1533-position model. The record is from RNAcentral.